This is a long non-coding RNA of Homo sapiens (human), 1056 nucleotides long. RefSeq annotates it as GABARAPL1 antisense RNA 1. The transcript has 3 exons. NCBI's taxonomy places the organism in Eukaryota, Metazoa, Chordata, Mammalia, Primates, Hominidae. The record is from RefSeq and is marked validated.
GACUGGUCACCUUGGGAGCAGCUCACCACUGGUUAAAACAUAACCCUAGGAAAGCUGAAAUCUGAGUGACAGGCUUAAUGGCUUAAAAAUUAUCACAGGAGUAAAACAUUUAACACCAAACUAUGAGCAGGAAAAGAACAGAAUGCUCUAAAAUAUUCAGAGUGAAUGCACAUAAAUAUUUAUCUAUUUCCAAUACUUAACAGUGUAAAGUCCACAGCACGUCAUUAAUUCUGGUUAAUACAACUAUAUUAGAAACUGAGAAACAAUAUGGCAUGGAGGUUAAGAUACCCGAGAGCUCCACAGUCCUUCAGACAGGGUUGGAAUUCCAGCUCAACCACAGAUCAGCAAUGUGAAACCUUUAGGAAGUUACUGCAUUUCUUUGUGCUUUGAAUACUCCAUCUGUAGAACGGGUAAUCGUGUAAGGAAGAAAAGGGUUACAAGAGGUUUCUACUGCUGGGCUAAGGCCCUGGUGGCUUCUGGUAGCUAUAAAACCACGAACGUUAGGUAAGGAUUAGAGAAGAAACCCAGAGUGGCUGUGAGUCAAGAAAAGACAUCAGAUAACAGCAAUUAUUUUACCAUUAUGUGACACGUAAUACUAAUGUUCCUACCUGAAGAUAAAGAGCACAAUUUUAAAAUCUCCGCUCCUCCAUUUCCAAAAUCCAACAGCUGCUGGUCCCCCUACCACUUAAGCCAUAUUCUGCCCUCCAAUUCGGCUGCGCAGCCUGCAUUAGAGAAACACCAGUUUUAACUACUUAAGCCGGUGUCCAAAACGGAGAAAAAACGUCUCAGUCCUGCCUUAUCGCGACCAGGUACCAGGUGAUCAGAAAUCAACACGAGGAGGCUGGCUGUCCCCACACAAGCCCCGGAGCCUAGAACGAUGAGGCAAGAGGGCUGUUGGGCAGAGAACGUGACCUUGUUUUCCAGGCCAGGACUGUCUUGUGCUCCCCUAACCCCCUGUAAUGCAAGAAAAUUACUGAAUAGCUUCUGAACCUUUUCGUCCCAAGACCAAUGAUAUGAGAGCCAAAGUCAACUUCAUUAAAGGAGAACCAGCCAAGG